This 27-nucleotide non-coding RNA is filed under the name Homo sapiens (human). Lineage: Eukaryota; Metazoa; Chordata; Mammalia; Primates; Hominidae. The record is from RNAcentral.
UGGACUCCGAGUGUUUGCCCCACCAGC